This 556-nucleotide long non-coding RNA is filed under the name Salmo salar (Atlantic salmon). RNAcentral describes it as "lncRNA (ENSSSAG00000083089.1, ENSSSAG00000106117.1)". The record is from RNAcentral. Lineage: Eukaryota; Metazoa; Chordata; Actinopteri; Salmoniformes; Salmonidae.
UGACUGGAGAGGUGGCCUGGGAGGCAGCUGGAAAGGUGGCCUGGAAGCCAGUUGGAGAGGUGGCCUGGAAGGCAGUUGGAGAGGUGGCCUGGAAGGCAGUUGGAGAGGUGGCCUGGAAGGCAGUUGGAGAGGUGGCCUGGAAGGCAGUUGGAGAGACGGCCUUGAAGGCAGUUGGAGCUGUGGCCUGGAAGGAAGUUGGAGAGGUGGCCUGGAAGGCAGUUGGAGAGACGGCCUGGAAGGCAGUUGGAGCUGUGGCCUGGAAGGAAGUUGGAGAGGUGGCCUGGAAGGCAGUUGGAGAGACGGCCUGGAAGGCAGUUGGAGCUGUGGCCUGGAAGGAAGUUGGAGAGGUGGCCUGGAAGGAAGUUGGAGAGGUGGCCUGGAUAGCUGUGGGCACAGUGGCCUGAGAAGUGUCUGAAGAGGUGACCUGGGAGGCAUCACUGGCUGAGUUCACCAUUUUCUUCAAUGGCCCGUACACGCUCCUGUCCAGUAGCUUCUUUCUCUCUUUGCAGAAUCUGUACAGAGUGACAUGACAUGUGCAGUACAACUUUGAUCUGAU